Molecule: ribosomal RNA, 432 nt
Filed under: uncultured bacterium
Lineage: Bacteria
Description: bacterial SSU rRNA
Rfam family: Bacterial small subunit ribosomal RNA
Source: RNAcentral
GAUGAACGCUGGCGGCGUGCUUCCCUUUUGCAAGUCGAACGAACCUUCGGGUUAGUGGCGGACGGGUGAGUAACGCGUGAGAAUCUGCCCUCAGGAGGGGGAUAACGGCUGGAAACGGCCGCUAAUACCCCAUAUGCCGAGAGGUGAAAUGAAUUUCGCCUGAGGAUGAGCUCGCGUCUGAUUAGCUAGUUGGUGGGGUAAAGGCCUACCAAGGCUUCAAUCAGUAGCUGGUCUGAGAGGAUGAUCAGCCACACUGGGACUGAGACACGGCCCAAACUCCUACGGGAGGCAGCAGUGGGGAAUUUUCCGCAAUGGGCGAAAGCCUGACGGAGCAACGCCGCGUGAGGGAUGAAGGCCUCUGGGCUGUAAACCUCUUUUAUCAAGGAAGAAAAUCUGACGGUACUUGAUGAAUAAGCCACGGCUAAUUCCGUG